GGGACUGCUAUGGUAUUGACGUUAAUCAAGAUAUAUUUUAUGAUGCAAGUCGAGAGAUAAAACUCUCGUUAAUCAAAUAUAAAAUUAAAUGCAAACAAUAUUAUUAAAUUCUCUAGAGCUUUAGUCUUAACGGCAUAAGUACUGUUAUUUUGAGUAAUAGAUAAAUCAUAAUUCAUAAUACUUAUUUUUUAUUCUAAGUAAGUUUUACUUACUAAACUUGUGAAUGAGUAAAAUAUAUCUGAUUAACGGACGUGGGUUCGACCCCCACCAGUUCCA
This 276-nucleotide transfer-messenger RNA is filed under the name Galdieria yellowstonensis. It matches the Rfam family "transfer-messenger RNA". Rfam says of the family: Bacterial tmRNA, also known as 10Sa RNA or SsrA, is named for its dual tRNA and mRNA-like properties. Its role is to liberate the mRNA from a stalled ribosome. Lineage: Eukaryota; Rhodophyta; Bangiophyceae; Galdieriales; Galdieriaceae. The record is from RNAcentral.